RNAcentral lists this transfer RNA (68 nucleotides) under Salmo salar (Atlantic salmon). It matches the Rfam family "tRNA". From Rfam's summary of the family: Transfer RNA (tRNA) molecules are approximately 80 nucleotides in length. Lineage: Eukaryota; Metazoa; Chordata; Actinopteri; Salmoniformes; Salmonidae. The record is from Rfam by way of RNAcentral. RNAcentral also lists the same sequence under 1 other name.
GGUGCAGUGGUCUAAGACACUGCAUCUCAGUGCAGGAGUCGUCCCUGGUUUGAAUCCAGGCUGCAUCA